CUCAUUUCGAUUCUUGUUUAAUACCCGCUUCUCUACCAAUCUCUGCACCGUUUAAGCUCCCUGGAGAACAGAUUUGGAAAGAAGUAUCUGUGUAAAAGAUUGUAAUUUGUAAGUUUUAGCUUUGACAACAUGUCAAACAGAGCUUUUAUCAGCUCAGUCAUGGCGAUGGUGUUGAGCAUGAUUGCUGUUAUGGGAGUGAGUGCUCAACAUGUUCCAUCCCCUGCGCCUGCCCCUACCAGCGAUGGGAGCACCAUAGAUCAAGGAAUUGCCUACAUUCUGAUGUUGGUGGCCCUGCUUCUCACCUAUUUCCUGCACUGAUUGAUACCACACAUAGACAAGAUAUGCAUUUCCACAUUUUUCGGAUCACAGGAAUUGUUUUGCUAUGGUCUAUGUAAUUUUUUAACGUUGAUGUAAGGGACUGGAUCGCCCCUACUGUAAACCAAGAGCCACAAAGAUUGAUAUUCAAUUCUUUAUUCAUUAUCCAUGCCUUUGCUCUGCUUGGCAUAAUUGUUCAACAUGUCUCAUCAAGACAAUUUUAUCCAGAAAAGAAACAGUUUUGUGUAUAUCAUAUAACAUUUAAGAUAGAAUUUAUAUUUAAGCUGUUGAUACUUGA
Cryptomeria japonica (Japanese cedar) is the source of this 613-nucleotide long non-coding RNA. RefSeq lists it as uncharacterized. The transcript has 2 exons. The record is from RefSeq and is a predicted model, not a curated record. Lineage: Eukaryota; Viridiplantae; Streptophyta; Pinopsida; Cupressales; Cupressaceae.